AGUUUUGCGCAGUGGCAGUAUCCUAGCCAGUGAGGUUUACCCGAGGCGCGAUGAUUGCUAAUUGAAAAGCAUGGGUGAGUCACAGCAGGACCUCUGAGAGGCUGUAUGUGGGAAUGUUGUAAGGAUUUGGAUUUCGGAAUC
Molecule: non-coding RNA, 141 nt
Organism: Heterocephalus glaber (naked mole-rat)
Lineage: Eukaryota; Metazoa; Chordata; Mammalia; Rodentia; Bathyergidae
Source: Rfam